GAUGAACGCUGGCGGCGUGCCUAAUACAUGCAAGUCGAGCGAACAGACGAGGAGCUUGCUCCUCUGACGUUAGCGGCGGACGGGUGAGUAACACGUGGAUAACCUACCUAUAAGACUGGGAUAACUUCGGGAAACCGGAGCUAAUACCGGAUAAUAUAUUGAACCGCAUGGUUCAAUAGUGAAAGACGGUUUUGCUGUCACUUAUAGAUGGAUCCGCGCCGCAUUAGCUAGUUGGUAAGGUAACGGCUUACCAAGGCGACGAUGCGUAGCCGACCUGAGAGGGGGAUCGGCCACACUGGAACUGAGACACGGUCCAGACUCCUAAGGGAGGCAGCAGUAGGGAAUCUUCCGCAAUGGGCGAAAGCCUGACGGAGCAACGCCGCGUGAGUGAUGAAGGUCUUCGGAUCGUAAAACUCUGUUAUUAGGGAAGAACAAAUGUGUAAGUAACUAUGCACGUCUUGACGGUACCUAAUCAGAAAGCCACGGCUAACUACGUG
This 497-nucleotide ribosomal RNA is filed under the name uncultured bacterium. Its description in RNAcentral is "partial 16S ribosomal RNA". It matches the Rfam family "Bacterial small subunit ribosomal RNA", at positions 28 to 507 of the family's 1533-position model. The record is from RNAcentral.